This 254-nucleotide ribosomal RNA is filed under the name uncultured bacterium. RNAcentral describes it as "partial 16S ribosomal RNA". It matches the Rfam family "Bacterial small subunit ribosomal RNA", at positions 524 to 776 of the family's 1533-position model. The record is from RNAcentral.
UACGUAGGGUGCAAGCGUUGUCCGGAAUUAUUGGGCGUAAAGAGCUCGUAGGCGGUUUGUCGCGUCUGCCGUGAAAGUCCGGGGCUCAACUCCGGAUCUGCGGUGGGUACGGGCAGACUAGAGUGAUGUAGGGGAGACUGGAAUUCCUGGUGUAGCGGUGAAAUGCGCAGAUAUCAGGAGGAACACCGAUGGCGAAGGCAGGUCUCUGGGCAUUAACUGACGCUGGAGGAGCGAAAGCAUGGGGAGCGAACAGG